CCAGGGAGUUGAUGGAUCCGGAACCUCUAGGACCCAGAGCCUGAGAAACAAAUCAGAAAUCGGGAGAAACCUAGCUGGGUUCCCCUACGCCGUAGCAACAGCAGGGCCUCUUUAACGGGCGCUUCAAACCACCAAUCCGAGCGGCCUAUGCUUUUUCAGCUGUAUAGAGCCAAACCAAUCAUAGCCAUGGAGCUGGAGCUGCAAGCGAACCAAUGGUGUAGCGGGACGACCAACCCGGCAGGGCAAAGGGCCGCCAGGAAACCGGUGAUGACGUGUGCCACAAUGUGUGCCGGCGGCGGAAGCUGGAAUAGACUGGGGAAUUAGCUUAACUGGUUGGACGCUUGCUUAGCAUGUAUAAGCGCUUCCUAGAGUCCCAUGAAAAUCAACACGGGCGCAGAAGUUAGAAGUGGGCGAGGAAAAGGACAAACCCUGGCAAGCCUGCGGCGACACGGUGACAACGAAGCCGUAGUCCAGGUUACUGCAGAAUCGCACGCGGGGGCUGCGCCUGAGCUGUCGACGGACGGAGGGCCGCCCUUUACUGAGCAGUCGCUUUGAGCCCACAGGGCGACCAGCCUCUGAGGUUCUGUUGGGGGUCCAUCCGUACACAUCUGGGGAACGUCGAGUGACAAUAAACUGAACGGUCGUU
Molecule: long non-coding RNA, 646 nt
Organism: Otolemur garnettii (small-eared galago)
Lineage: Eukaryota; Metazoa; Chordata; Mammalia; Primates; Galagidae
Exons: 2
Source: RefSeq, a predicted model, not a curated record